AGUAAUAUGCCUGAUUAAAGGGUUAUUUUGAUUAAAUAAAUAUGUAAUUUAUAUAUUACUAUUACUA
Molecule: transfer RNA, 67 nt
Filed under: Megachile sculpturalis
Lineage: Eukaryota; Metazoa; Arthropoda; Insecta; Hymenoptera; Megachilidae
Description: tRNA-Ile
Source: RNAcentral